GACGAACGCUGGCGGCGUGCCUAAUACAUGCAAGUAGAACGCUGAAGAGAGGAGCUUGCUCUUCUUGGAUGAGUUGCGAACGGGUGAGUAACGCGUAGGUAACCUGCCUUGUAGCGGGGGAUAACUAUUGGAAACGAUAGCUAAUACCGCAUAACAAUAGGUGACACAUGUCAUUUAUUUGAAAGGGGCAAUUGCUCCACUACAAGAUGGACCUGCGUUGUAUUAGCUAGUAGGUGAGGUAACGGCUCACCUAGGCGACGAUACAUAGCCGACCUGAGAGGGUGAUCGGCCACACUGGGACUGAGACACGGCCCAGACUCCUACGGGAGGCAGCAGUAGGGAAUCUUCGGCAAUGGGGGCAACCCUGACCGAGCAACGCCGCGUGAGUGAAGAAGGUUUUCGGAUCGUAAAGCUCUGUUGUAAGUCAAGAACGAGUGUGAGAGUGGAAAGUUCACACUGUGACGGUAGCUUACCAGAAAGGGACGGCUAACUACGUGCCAGCAGCCGCGGUAAUACGUAGGUCCCGAGCGUUGUCCGGAUUUAUUGGGCGUAAAGCGAGCGCAGGCGGUUUGAUAAGUCUGAGGUUAAAGGCUGUGGCUCAACCAUAGUUCGCUUUGGAAACUGUCAAACUUGAGUGCAGAAGGGGAGAGUGGAAUUCCAUGUGUAGCGGUGAAAUGCGUAGAUAUAUGGAGGAACACCGGUGGCGAAAGCGGCUCUCUGGUCUGUAACUGACGCUGAGGCUCGAAAGCGUGGGGAGCGAACAGG
Molecule: ribosomal RNA, 765 nt
Filed under: uncultured Streptococcus sp.
Lineage: Bacteria; Bacillati; Bacillota; Bacilli; Lactobacillales; Streptococcaceae
Description: bacterial SSU rRNA
Rfam family: Bacterial small subunit ribosomal RNA
Source: RNAcentral